UACGGGGGGGGCAAGCGUUGUUCGGAAUUACUGGGCGUAAAGGGCGCGUAGGCGGCCUGCUAAGUCGGAUGUGAAAUCCCUCGGCUCAACCGAGGAACUGCAUCCGAUACUGGCGGGCUUGAAUCCGGGAGAGGUGAGUGGAACUGCGAGUGUAGAGGUGAAAUUCGUAGAUAUUCGCAAGAACACCAGUGGCGAAGGCGGCUCACUGGCCCGGUACUGACGCUGAGGUGCGAAAGCGUGGGGAGCAAACAGG
Molecule: ribosomal RNA, 253 nt
Filed under: uncultured bacterium
Lineage: Bacteria
Description: partial 16S ribosomal RNA
Rfam family: Bacterial small subunit ribosomal RNA
Source: RNAcentral